AUGAUGCUCGCGUACAUGGACCGCGCCGCCGCCGGCGCCGCCACGGAGCGGGACGCGCUCGAGCUGACCGUGGUGGCCGCCGACGCGGCGGAGUGCGCGGCGGCGAGGGACUUCGGCGGCCUCGUGAGCGCCCGCCCCGCGGCCGUCGUCCGGCCGGCGAGCGCGGACGACGUGGCCAGCGCCAUCCGCGCGGCCGCGCGCACCACGCUCCUCACCGUGGCCGCCCGCGGCAACGGCCACUCGGUCGCCGGGCAGGCCAUGUCCGAGGGCGGGCUUGUCCUCGACAUGCGCGCGGGCGCGGCCUCCCGGCGCCAGCAGAUGAAGCUCGUCUCGUCCGGCGGUGGGGCGGCCUUCGCCGACGUCCCCGGCGGCGCGCUCUGGGAGGAGGUCCUCCACUGGGCCGUCUCGAACCACGGCCUCGCCCCCGCCUCCUGGACGGACUACCUCCGGCUCACCGUCGGCGGCACGCUCUCCAACGGCGGCGUGAGCGGGCAGUCCUUCCGCUACGGCCCGCAGGUGUCCAACGUGGCGGAGCUCGAGGUGGUGACCGGGGAAGGCGAGUGCCGCGUCUGCUCCCCCUCCGCCCACCCCGACCUCUUCUUCGCCGUCCUCGGCGGCCUCGGCCAGUUCGGCGUCAUCACCCGCGCCCGCAUCCCGCUCUCCCCGGCGCCACAAACGGUGAAGUGGGCGCGCGUGGUGUACGCGAGCUUCGCGGAGUACGCGGCGGACGCGGAGUGGCUGGUGACGCGGCCGGCCGAGUCGGCGUUCGACUACGUGGAGGGCUUCGCGUUCGUGCGCAGCGACGACCCGGUGAAUGGCUGGCCGUCGGUGCCCAUCCCCGCCGGCGCGCGCUUCGACCCGUCGCUGCUCCCCGCCGGCGAGCCCGGCCCGCUGCUCUACUGCCUGGAGGUGGCCCUGUACCAGCACCACCACCAGCAGCCCGACGCCGUGGACGAGAGGAUGGGGGAGAUGAUGCGGCGGCUCAAGUACGUGCGGGGCCUGGAGUACGCGGCGGACGUCGGGUACGUGGAGUUCCUGUCGCGCGUGAACCGGGUGGAGGAGGAGGCGCGCCGGAGCGGCAGCUGGGCCGCGCCGCACCCGUGGCUCAACCUCUUCGUCUCCGCGCGCGACAUCGCCGACUUCGACCGCGCCGUGCUCAAAGGCAUGCUCGCCGACGGCGUCGACGGGCCCAUGCUCAUCUACCCCAUGCUCAAGAGCAAGUGGGACCCGAACACGUCGGUGGCGCUGCCGGAGGGCGAGGUGUUCUACCUGGUGGCGCUGCUGCGGUUCUGCCCGGGCGGCCGCGGCCGCGGCGCGGCGGUGGAGGAGCUGGUGGCGCAGAACGGCGCCAUCGUCGACGCCUGCCGGAGCAGCGGCUACGACUUCAAGACCUACUUCCCGCACUACCGCACGGAGGCGGACUGGGCGCGCCACUUCGGGUCCAAGUGGGCCCGCUUCGUCGACCGCAAGGCCCGCUACGACCCGCUGGCGAUCCUCGCCCCGGGCCAGAAGAUCUUCGCCAGGACCCCCUCCUCCCGAACCGACCGAUCAUAG
RNAcentral lists this ribosomal RNA (1554 nucleotides) under Triticum aestivum (bread wheat). Its description in RNAcentral is "partial small subunit ribosomal RNA". The record is from RNAcentral. Lineage: Eukaryota; Viridiplantae; Streptophyta; Magnoliopsida; Poales; Poaceae.